Molecule: long non-coding RNA, 897 nt
Filed under: Homo sapiens (human)
Lineage: Eukaryota; Metazoa; Chordata; Mammalia; Primates; Hominidae
Description: HSALNT0354318
Source: RNAcentral
GACUCACAGCCUCUCUGUGUCAAUAGACAGAGUCAGCCCAGAGUUAUGACUUCACAGAAAGAUGAAGCAAAAGCUGGGAGACGAGGCAGGACCAGCUUUAAAAGAAGGCUGUAAGCUCAGACAACAAGUAGCAAAAGAAACACUGACCACUCACAGGCUGGGUAAUUGCAUUCGUUGCUUCUUUUUAUUUCUUGCUCGUCUCCUAGAAAAGAACAACUCUGACUUUGACUUCAUCCUUUCAUUGCAUUAACAUUGACGGGGGACAUGGUCAUUGUCAGGGCUAUGACUUUGCCUGGUGCUCCAUAUACAUUGUUAUCUCAUUCUGUUCUCAUAGCAAUUCUAUAAGGGAUUCAGAACCUGCGGAUGUGGAGGGCCAGAGGGCUGAAUUUGCAAGUUGGGCAAUGGGGAAAGCCUUCACAAAGGAGAAAGCCUUUGGGCUGGAAUUGGAGGAGUAGGAGUCAAUAGAGAGAGAAGAGAGUAAAGGGCAAGGCCAUCAUUCCAGGUUUAGGGAGCAAGUACAAAGACACAGAGAAAUGAAAAGGCUUGGCCUGUUUGGAGAAUGUCAAGCUGUCUGGGGUUGAGAGAAAGACAUUCUAACAAGGCUUCCAUUAAAGAGGCUAGAUUUGCUGCUUGGACAUUUUCUAGCUCUUCUGAGACAACUUUUUGUUGAGUUAAGCGAAAAUGAAUGAAAAUCAGAUGGACCAUAUUUCUCUUGAAUGCACACGGGCUUAAAAACGAAGGGGAAAAAGAACUUGACAGAAUGUGUCUUGGCUUUUGCCAAACCCAAAGUAUUUGAAAAAUCACACAGUACACAUCUCGAACCCAAAAACAUGCCUGGAUUCUACCACCCCUAACUGCAGCUGCAGCCAUUUAAUAAAAUGAAUUGUGUACAAGAAA